UUGAACGCUGGCGGCAGGCCUAACACAUGCAAGUCGAAUGGUAACAGGAAACAGCUUGCUGUUUCGCUGACGAGUGGCGGACGGGUGAGUAAUGUCUGGAAAACUGCCUGAUGGAGGGGGAUAACUACUGGAAACGGUAGCUAAUACCGCAUAACGUCGCAAGACCAAAGAGGGGGACCUUCGGGCCUCUUGCCAUCAGAUGUGCCCAGAUGGGAUUAGCUAGUAGGUGGGGUAACGGCUCACCUAGGCGACGAUCCCUAGCUGGUCUGAGAGGAUGACCAGCCACACUGGAACUGAGACACGGUCCAGACUCCUACGGGAGGCAGCAGUGGGGAAUAUUGCACAAUGGGCGCAAGCCUGAUGCAGCCAUGCCGCGUGUAUGAAGAAGGCCUUCGGGUUGUAAAGUACUUUCAGCGGGGAGGAAGGGAGUAAAGUUAAUACCUUUGCUCAUUGACGUUACCCGCAGAAGAAGCACCGGCUAACUCCGUG
Molecule: ribosomal RNA, 489 nt
Filed under: uncultured bacterium
Lineage: Bacteria
Description: partial 16S ribosomal RNA
Rfam family: Bacterial small subunit ribosomal RNA
Source: RNAcentral